UACGUAGGGACCAAGCGUUGUUCGGAUUUACUGGGCGUAAAGGGCGCGUAGGCGGCGCGGUAAGUCACUUGUGAAAUCUCUGAGCUUAACUCAGAACGGCCAAGUGAUACUGCAGUGCUAGAGUGUGGAAGGGGCAAUCGGAAUUCUUGGUGUAGCGGUGAAAUGCGUAGAUAUCAGGAGGAACACCGGUGGCGAAGGCGGAUCUCUGGGCCGAUACUGACGCUGAGGAGCGAAAGCGUGGGGAGCGAACAGG
RNAcentral lists this ribosomal RNA (253 nucleotides) under uncultured bacterium. RNAcentral's name for it is "partial 16S ribosomal RNA". It matches the Rfam family "Bacterial small subunit ribosomal RNA", at positions 524 to 776 of the family's 1533-position model. The record is from RNAcentral.